CUCCUGGCAUAUGGAGGUUCCCAGGCUAGGGGUCGAAUCAGAGCUCAAGGCUACACCAGAUCCUUAACCCACUGAGCAAGGCCAGGGACCGAACCGGCAACCUCAUGGUUCCCAGUCAGAUUCGUUAACCACUAUAUUUUCCCUUUCCUAUAGUUCUAUAAAAUGUCCUAAAAAGAUAGCGAAAUGACAGCUUUGAAAUAAAAAGCUAUUUUGUAAAUAGAUUGUGUCUCAGAUAAUACACAAUGCAAUAAAAAUAUUACUGCCAAAUCCCUCGUACUAAGCAGAAUUUUCAAAACCGGAAGAGUUUGAUAGGACCAAUUCAUGAGUUUGGAAGAACUAGUAUCCUUUAGGCUCUGUCAAAUAAUAUCAUUUUUAAAACGAUAAAAAUUUCCAAAUAAGAAAUGUAGGCAAAACCCUGGCAUUCUUUGAUAUACUUUGAAAUUAUGCUAAUGGUGCCAAGAAGACCAGUGUUAUGAAUGUAGGUUUAAAAAACAUAAAUGUACUACAAUUUUAUCUAUAAUUGCUAAUGGUUAAAAUGUUUUGUGAUAAUUUUUAAAAAACAUAAAUGUACUACAAUUUUAUCUAUAAUUGCUAAUGGUUAAAAUGUUUUGUGAUAAUUUUUAAACUUUAGAGGACUUAGAUGAAAACUCUGCUUUUACAUUAAAAUGUUAUAUGGACAUAUGUGUUACUGACGGCUAAAAAUUAACAAAGACAACUUUUAUAUACUUGCAUGUAUUUUCCCCCCAAAGCUGUUAUUAAAUUAAUGGUACACAUCACAAUGUCAUCAGAGAUGAAAAACAAUAUCAUUGGCAGAAAAUAAUAGGAAAUUGGUAAUAUCAAAGCAUUAGGUAUAUUUAUUGCAGGAUAGUAAUUAUGUGUUAUCCUGCUUCACCUUGCCUAAUAAAACAGAUUAACCAUUACACUUUUUAAAAAAUAUUUUUAUUAUAUCUGAUUUACAAUGUUUUGUCAAUUUCUGCUCUACAUAAACAUGACCCAGUCAUACAUAUACAUAUAUUCUUUUUCUCAUAUUAUCCUCCGUCAUGUACCAUCACAAGUUACUGGAUACAGUGCCCUGUGCUACACAGCAGGAUCUCUUUGCCUAUCUACUCCAAAUUCAAUAGUUUGCAUCUACUAACCCCAAAUUCUCAUUCCAUCCCAUUCCCUCCCCUUCCCCCUUGGUAACCACAAGUCUGUUCUCCAUGUCCAUGAGGUUUUUUCCUCUAUAGAUAGGUUCAUUUGUGCCAUAUAUUAGAUUCCAGAUAUAAGUGAUAUCAUAUAGUAUUUGUCUUUUUCUUUCUGACUUCACUUAGUAUGGGAAUCUAGUUGUAUCCAUUUUGCUGCAAAUGGCAUUAUUUUGUUUUUUUUUUAUGACUGAAUAGCAUUCCAUUGUGUAUACAUACCAUGUCUUUUUUUUUAAACCGUUAAAAAUAUUUUAGUCAUCCACAUCAGAGACCUGUUAGUAUAAGCAAAAUUAGAUGAACUCACCACUUAAUCAUAUAGCACCCCCAGUUCCCUACCAUAACUCAACAUAAAAGGAUGAUAUUAAAAGGUGGAAAGUAUAAAUAAAAUAACUUUCCAUACAACACAGAAAGUUAUUAAAGAAUUACACUCAAAGCACCAGGCAUAAAAAUUUUCUCAGCAAAUUACUAACCACUGUUUAAUUUCGAAUAUGUAAACUCUAUUACUAAUUGUUCCAGAGCACUGAAAGAAAACUCCUUAUAAAGUAAGCAUAACACCAAUAGCUGAACCUGAUAAACAUAGUACAAAUGAAAAAAACCAAUAUACCACAUCUUCUUAAUCCAUUCAUCUGUUGAUGGACAUUUAGGUUGUUUCCAGGUCUUGGCUAUUGCGAAUAGUGCUAGAGUGAACAUAGGGAUGCAUGUAUCCUUUUCAAUGAAAGUUUUGUCCACUUAGAUGCCCAGGAGUGGGAUUGCUAGAUCAUACGGUAGUUCUAUAUUUAGUUUUCUGUGGUACUUCCAUGGUAUUUUCCAUAUUGGUUGUAUCAAUUUACAUUCCCACCAACAGUACAGGAGGGUUCCCUUUUCUCCACACCCUCUCCAGCAUUUGUUAUUUGUAGACUUAUUAUGAUGGCUAUUCCUACUGGUGUGUGGUGAUAUCUCAUUGUAGUUUUGAUAUGCAUUUCUCUAAUAAUUAGUGAUGUUGAGCAUUUUUUCAUGUGCUGUUGGUGAUCUGUAUAUCUUCUUUGGAGAAAUGUCUAUUCAGGUCUUCUGCCAUUUUUCAAUUUAUUUUUUAUUUUUUAUUUUUGUUUUUUUGCUGUCAAGUUGUGAGAAUUGUUUGUACAUUUUGGAAAUUAAAGCCCUUGUCAGUUGCAUCUUUUUGAACUACUUUCUCCCAUUCUGUAGGUUGUCUUUUUGCGUUGUUUUAUGGUUUCCUUUAUUGCACAAAAGCUUGUCAAUUUGAUUAGGUCACAUUGGUUUAUUUUUGUUAUUUCUAUUGCUUUGGGAGACUCACCUAAGAAAUCAUGAGUAUGGUUGAUGUUAGAGAAUGUUUUACCUACAUUAUUUUCUAGGAGUUUUAUGGUAUCUUGUCUUAUAUUUAAGUCUUUAAGCCAUUUUGAGUUUAUCUUUUUUUUGAAUGGUGUGAGGGUGUGUUCUGGUUUCAUUGAUUUACAUGCAGCUGUCCAGUUUUGCCAGUACCACUUGCUGAAGAGACUGUCUUUUUCCCAUUUUAUAUUCUUACUUCCUUUAUUGAAGAUUAAUUGACUAUAGGUGUCUGGGUUUAUUUCUAGGUUCUCUAUUCUGUUCUCACCUGUAUGUCUGUUUUUGUACCAGUACCACAAUGUCUGUGGCUCAGGUCUGAUCCCUAGCCUGAGGAACUUUUGCAUGUUAUGGGUGCAGCCAAAAAAAAAAAAAAAAAAAAAAAAAAA
Molecule: long non-coding RNA, 2887 nt
Filed under: Sus scrofa (pig)
Lineage: Eukaryota; Metazoa; Chordata; Mammalia; Artiodactyla; Suidae
Description: lncRNA (ENSSSCG00035009033.1)
Source: RNAcentral